RNAcentral lists this long non-coding RNA (381 nucleotides) under Malus domestica (apple). RNAcentral describes it as "long non-coding RNA (MDOM_LNC020264)". Lineage: Eukaryota; Viridiplantae; Streptophyta; Magnoliopsida; Rosales; Rosaceae. The record is from RNAcentral.
CAACCUCUGUGCUUCGUGGCAAGGUAGACUAGCAAACAUGCCCAACCUUUACCCACAUUCGAGAAAACACUCCCAACAAGAUUGCUUGCUCCAAAAUCGAAGAGGCACCGCCCUCCGAAUCUCGAGAGCCAGACUCCCAACAUGAUUACUUUCUCAAAAAUCGAAGAGGGUAAAGGAACAGUACCACGGCUGGAUAAUUGGAAAGUCCCUGUGUGUCAACCUCUGUGCUUCGUGGCAAGGUAGACUAGCAAACAUGCCCAACCUUUACUCACAUUCGAGAAAACACUCCCAACAAGAUUGCUUGCUCCAAAAUCGAAGAGGCACCGCCCUCCGAAUCUCGAGAGCCAGACUCCUAACAUGAUUACUUUCUCAAAAAUCGAA